ACGAACGCUGGCGGCGUGCUUAACACAUGCAAGUCGAACGGUGAAGCGAGUGCUUGCACUCGUGGAUCAGUGGCGAACGGGUGAGUAACACGUGAGUAACCUGCCCAUCACUCUGGGAUAAGCACUGGAAACGGUGCCUAAUACUGGAUACGACCAACCCUUGCAUGGGGUGUUGGUGGAAAGAUUUAUCGGUGAUGGAUGGACUCGCGGCCUAUCAGCUUGUUGGCGGGGUAAUGGCCCACCAAGGCGACGACGGGUAGCCGGCCUGAGAGGGUGACCGGCCACACUGGGACUGAGACACGGCCCAGACUCCUACGGGAGGCAGCAGUGGGGAAUAUUGCACAAUGGGCGAAAGCCUGAUGCAGCGACGCCGCGUGAGGGAUGACGGCCUUCGGGUUGUAAACCUCUUUCAGCAGGGAAGAAGCGAAAGUGACGGUACCUGCAGAAGAAGCACCGGCUAACUACGUG
Molecule: ribosomal RNA, 468 nt
Filed under: uncultured bacterium
Lineage: Bacteria
Description: partial 16S ribosomal RNA
Rfam family: Bacterial small subunit ribosomal RNA
Source: RNAcentral